ACCUAUUUUGGGGGCAUCACAAUUGAAAUUCGGGAGGAGUACCGGUUGAGAUCCGCAGGAGGAGUGAGUCGAGUUGGGCAUGUGGAAAAUUGAUCGGCAGCGUAGAGAGAGAAAUCAGAGUUGAUUUGGGUCCACGUCAGUAAAAUAUGUCUAAUUGUCAAUCUCGUUUGUCUAUUUGGCAAGUCUGUCAACGGCAGGGGUACAAUUGACCCAAAACUGUAACGUUGAAGGUAUUUUUAGAAAAAAAAAAGUAUAGGAUACUCGAUAGACAUUAAGAAAAAUAUGAGGGGCAUUUUUGGAUCUUAUCCCAUAAAAACUAAGAAUUAAAGAGUGCUUUGCAAUAUAAACAGGUGAUGGUGGGU
Molecule: long non-coding RNA, 362 nt
Filed under: Panax ginseng (ginseng)
Lineage: Eukaryota; Viridiplantae; Streptophyta; Magnoliopsida; Apiales; Araliaceae
Description: long non-coding RNA (PGIN_LNC010019)
Source: RNAcentral